CUAAGAAUCUUCCGCAAUGGACGAAAGUCUGACGGAGCGACGCCGCGUGGGUGACGAAGGCCGUGAGGUUGUAAAGCCCUUUUCUACCUGAGGAAUAAGCCUGAGAGGGAAUGCUCGGGUGAUGACGGUAGGGUAGGAAUAAGCCCCGGCUAAUUACGUGCCAGCAGCCGCGGUAACACGUAUGGGGCGAGCGUUGUUCGGAAUUAUUGGGCGUAAAGGGCGUGUAGGCGGAUAUGCAAGUCUGGUGUGAAAGACCGCAGCUCAACUGCGGGCACGCGCUGGAAACUGUGUGUCUUGAAUCCUUGAGGGGGAACUGGAAUUCCUGGUGUAGGGGUGAAAUCUGUAGAUAUCAGGAAGAACAUCAGUGGCGAAGGCGAGUUCCUGGCAAGUGAUUGACGCUGAGGCGCGAAAGCGUGGGUAGCAAACA
This 427-nucleotide ribosomal RNA is filed under the name uncultured bacterium. RNAcentral describes it as "bacterial SSU rRNA". It matches the Rfam family "Bacterial small subunit ribosomal RNA", at positions 355 to 774 of the family's 1533-position model. The record is from RNAcentral.